GGGCCGGUAGUCUAGCGGAAGGAUGCCCGCCUUGCAAGGCGUUACAUACCUAAGAGCGCGGGUGAUCCCGGGUUCGAAUCCCGGCCGGUCCA
RNAcentral lists this transfer RNA (92 nucleotides) under Pyrobaculum aerophilum str. IM2. It matches the Rfam family "tRNA". From Rfam's summary of the family: Transfer RNA (tRNA) molecules are approximately 80 nucleotides in length. Lineage: Archaea; Thermoproteati; Thermoproteota; Thermoprotei; Thermoproteales; Thermoproteaceae. The record is from Rfam by way of RNAcentral.